This 460-nucleotide ribosomal RNA is filed under the name uncultured bacterium. RNAcentral describes it as "partial 16S ribosomal RNA". It matches the Rfam family "Bacterial small subunit ribosomal RNA", at positions 338 to 795 of the family's 1533-position model. The record is from RNAcentral.
CCUACGGGUGGCAGCAGUGAGGAAUAUUGGUCAAUGGGCGCGAGCCUGAACCAGCCAAGUAGCGUGAAGGAUGACUGCCCUACGGGUUGUAAACUUCUUUUAUAAAGGAAUAAAGUGAGGCACGUGUGCCUUUUUGUAUGUACUUUAUGAAUAAGGAACGGCUAACUCCGUUCCAGCAGCCGCGGUAAUACGGCGGAUCCGAGCGUUGUCCGGGUUUCUUGGGUUUAAAGGGAGCGUAGAUGGGUUGGUAAGUCAGUUGUGAAAGUUUGGGGCUCAACCGGAAAAUUGCAAUUGUUACUGGCAGUCUUGAGUACAGUUGAGGUAGGCGGAAUUCGUGGUGUAGCGGUGAAAUGCUUAGAUAUCACGAAGAACUCCGAUUGCGAAGGCAGCUUACUAAACUGCCACUGACAUUGAUGCUCGAAAGUGUGGGUAUCAAACAGGAUUAGAUACCCGAGUAGUC